RNAcentral lists this ribosomal RNA (281 nucleotides) under Pediococcus pentosaceus. Its description in RNAcentral is "partial 16S ribosomal RNA". It matches the Rfam family "Bacterial small subunit ribosomal RNA", at positions 1159 to 1439 of the family's 1533-position model. The record is from RNAcentral. Lineage: Bacteria; Bacillati; Bacillota; Bacilli; Lactobacillales; Lactobacillaceae.
CAAACCGGAGGAAGGUGGGGACGACGUCAAAUCAUCAUGCCCCUUAUGACCUGGGCUACACACGUGCUACAAUGGAUGGUACAACGAGUCGCGAGACCGCGAGGUUAAGCUAAUCUCUUAAAACCAUUCUCAGUUCGGACUGUAGGCUGCAACUCGCCUACACGAAGUCGGAAUCGCUAGUAAUCGCGGAUCAGCAUGCCGCGGUGAAUACGUUCCCGGGCCUUGUACACACCGCCCGUCACACCAUGAGAGUUUGUAACACCCAAAGCCGGUGGGGUAAC